This 2758-nucleotide long non-coding RNA is filed under the name Canis lupus familiaris (dog). Its description in RNAcentral is "lncRNA (ENSCAFG00000051357.1)". The record is from RNAcentral. Lineage: Eukaryota; Metazoa; Chordata; Mammalia; Carnivora; Canidae.
UUGGUCUCAAGUGGAUAAAUAGAUUAAAAUAUUUUUUUUAAUGAGAAAAUGAAAAAAAAUGCAACCUACUAGUUGAGUUCAUUAUGGUACUUAAGGUUACCACAUGGUAUCACACUUUUACAGUACUCUGAAAAAGCCUGACAGAUAUUUAAUAACAUAAAAGAUAUUCAUGUAGUCAGAAGAACAGAUUUUCUCCUUUCCCACUGCGAAAACACAGAAAGGAAAAUGCUCAAGUUGAAACCAGAGGAGGUUUAGUUAGAUUUAAAGAUUUAGAAAUUGUUAUGUAGGAUUAGGUGAAGAAAUCUAAAAUAUUCUUUCCUGUUGUAAGAAGAGAGAGGCCUGUCUGUCAGGAAUGCCUAGAAAAUAUCACAGGACAGCCAGACUGACAAUUUCUUUGGCACCAUAUUUCUUUUGUCUGCUUCUGAUUUAUCAGACACUGGAGUGUACACAUAUAGGCAUUCAGGCACUUACUGAAUUCAGUAAGUAUUUGUUGAAUGAAUGAAUGUCUAAUCAAAAUCAGAAGUCAAACAUCUUCACUAUUGUGUAUCCACUUUAGCCAAUCCUUAUAACUACUGAAAGUAAGAGAGAUCUUAGAAAUCCAAGUGAUGUGUGCACGGUCAAAACAGCGAGAGAGUGGCAAAUCUUAAACUUCAGUCUCCCACUUUUAAGUCCUGUCAAUUAAACAACCAUGGGGGCAGCCCGGGUGGCUCAGUGGUUUAGUGCCGCCGUCAGCCCAGGGCCUGAUCCUGGAGACCCGGGAUCGAGUCCCACGUCGGGCUCCUCUGCCUGUGUCUCUGCCUUUCUCUGUGUGUGUGUGUCUCUCAUGAAUAAAUAAAAUCUUUAAAAAAAUAAUAAUAAUAAUGAACAACCAUGGAACUCUGUCCAAGGAAAAAUAAUUAACCUCUAUUUUCUCCUUAUAUUAUAAAUCAAUAUAUAUGUACCCUGAGUCCCAAUAACUGGCUAUAGAUUCAGACCAACCAAAUUAAAAUACGUUGUGUUCAUCAUUGGCCAAGCAUCAUUGUGGCACUCUUGCAUUAAUGGUUGUUAUGCAAAAAUCAGGGAUAUUCUGUUAGUAGAGAUUUGAAGCCAAAUGUUUUGAUUCUACUUCAUUCUUUUUCGAUAUCUUGAGAAAUCAUAGAAUUCACUGGACAAUUAAAUAGGAUGACCAUUUAUUUCAUUAUCCAAAUGAAACAUUUUGAAAAUGAAAGGAUUAUGACAUCAAGCAUAAACUGGCUCUGUCCUGGGAAAAACUAGAAGAUCAUUCUGGUUCUGUCCCUUGAUCUCUUCCUUUAACAAAGCAUACCUGUAUAACCAUAAUCCUACAUCACUCCUUCAUAAAGAUUUGCUACUUUUGGAUCAGCUUAUGUGUCUAAACUUCUUAAAAUUCUUUAGUAGGAAUUUUCACUUUGCAUACUAUAAAAGUAGCUGGAGUGUUUCAAGGGAUUCUAAGUGAAUCAGAGUUAAUAGUGUUGUAAUAUAUUAAUUAAAUUAUGAUUGUUUACAUAAAGUCAAUUUCUAUUCAAAAUUUCCAAGGAACAGCAAACUCUUUUUCUGUGUAGGGUGAUAUCAAUAGUGUUUUACAAAGGAACUGGGGUGGGGAGUAGGCUAGAUGCUAAGACCCCAAUUUCUUACACAACACCACAAUGUCAUUCUAUAUUUAUAUAAUGACUUUGGGUUGGAAAUUUGAAAAGAAGGGGUUAUUAGCUGAGUAACUUCUCAGUGAAUAGUAGAAAAAGUAGAAAAUGUCAAUUCCCACUUACUACAGCUUAAUUAGAACUUUUUAAAAGUUAUUUUCAAAUUUCAGCAUUUUGAAAUGUCAACUUGUAACACUUGCAAAUAAUUUCUAAAAAGCUGUACAAACUAAGCCUUAUACCUUCACCUUUUAGAAGUAACCCAUAGUGACCCUGGGUUGCUUUGGAGAACUAUAAAACCUCUCAUCUUCCCAGAGCUCACCUCCCUGUACCGUAAAAUAAAGCUAAGAAAGGGGCUUGAAUUGAGAGUUCCGUAGGUUUGAACUCAGGGUCGAUGAGUUUACUUUCUGUUUACAGCCAUCUGUGAGGGUCAGGGUGUCUUUAAAAACAGACCAGGUUGUUCAUUGUUUGGUGGUAUCAGGAACAUAAAUAAUCUAAUUUCCUGUGGUCCAUGUGCUGUGUAAACUGCUUCUUAAGUGUGGACAAGCCAGAACCAGUCAGGACCCUUCCAGAGAAAUUUGAGGAUUUUAUGUAGCUAGGGAGAUGCUGACAAUCUGUUGUGCAUCCUUAGAAACACCUUUCAGUGAAAAGCUAGCUAAGGAUGACUUUGCCUGAACAAAAGGCACAUCUCCUUCCAUGAUCAUUUUUCUGCAGAUUUCACCCAUCUGCUAACAUCUACACAUCUUCCAGUUGACACAGCCAGUUUGGAGCCAUCGUGAUAUCCGUAUGAACGUGGAAGAUGGAUUUUUAAUAGUCUUCACUAGGAGAAACUGCAUGAUUUGAGAUUAAAACAAAAAAAUAUAUAUCACAGGCAUAGGUUUGUAUCCACCCAACUGCACCCCAUCUGACCACCCAGGUAAAGUCAUUAACUCCUGAACAAUUUCAUACAUCUAGGGGUGGGGAGGAAAAUGAAGCUGUAUCUCCCACCCUGACUGGUUCCUAACCCCACAAGGUGGGCUAUGAAAUGGUUCUCAUCCCACCCUGAGCCUAAACAUGUGGCUGUUACCACAGGGAAUUCCCUGACCUCUCCCCAACUAGAAGCUCUUUGGCAAAGAUGUUUUUCCCCC